Molecule: small nucleolar RNA, 68 nt
Filed under: Neotoma lepida (desert woodrat)
Lineage: Eukaryota; Metazoa; Chordata; Mammalia; Rodentia; Cricetidae
Also listed under: 1 other name
Description: Small nucleolar RNA SNORD113/SNORD114 family
Rfam family: Small nucleolar RNA SNORD113/SNORD114 family
About the family: The imprinted human domain at 14q32 contains two clusters of tandemly repeated small nucleolar RNAs named 14q(I) and 14q(II) snoRNAs.
Source: Rfam by way of RNAcentral
UGGAUCAAUGAUGACCGUGGGUAGCUUAUGAGUCGGAUCGUGACUUCAAGUCUUAGUCUGAGGUCCAC